Molecule: ribosomal RNA, 254 nt
Filed under: uncultured bacterium
Lineage: Bacteria
Description: partial 16S ribosomal RNA
Rfam family: Bacterial small subunit ribosomal RNA
Source: RNAcentral
UACGUAGGUGGCAAGCGUUGUUCGGAAUUAUUGGGCGUAAAGAGCUCGUAGGCGGUGUGUCACGUCGGCCGUGAAAACCUGCAGCUUAACUGUGGGCGUGCGGUCGAUACGGGCAUCACUGGAGUUCGGCAGGGGAGACUGGAAUUCCUGGUGUAGCGGUGAAAUGCGCAGAUAUCAGGAGGAACACCGGUGGCGAAGGCGGGUCUCUGGGCCGAUACUGACGCUGAGGAGCGAAAGCGUGGGGAGCAAACAGG